Molecule: ribosomal RNA, 387 nt
Filed under: uncultured bacterium
Lineage: Bacteria
Description: bacterial SSU rRNA
Rfam family: Bacterial small subunit ribosomal RNA
Source: RNAcentral
AUUGAACGCUGGCGGCAUGCCUUACACAUGCAAGUCGAACGGCAGCGGACCUUCGGGUGCCGGCGAGUGGCGAACGGGUGAGUAAUAUAUCGGAACGUACCUUUCAGUGGGGGAUAACGUAGCGAAAGUUACGCUAAUACCGCAUAUUCUGUGAGCAGGAAAGCAGGGGAUCGCAAGACCUUGCGCUGAUUGAGCGGCCGAUAUCAGAUUAGCUAGUUGGUGAGGUAAAGGCUCACCAAGGCGACGAUCUGUAGCGGGUCUGAGAGGAUGAUCCGCCACACUGGAACUGAGACACGGUCCAGACUCCUACGGGAGGCAGCAGUGGGAAUUUUGGACAAUGGGCGCAAGCCUGAUCCAGCCAUGCCGCGUGAGUGAAGAAGGCCUCGG